GACGAACGCUGGCGGCGUGCUUAACACAUGCAAGUCGAACGAAGAGCGAUGGAAGCUUGCUUCUAUCAAUCUUAGUGGCGAACGGGUGAGUAACGCGUAAUCAACCUGCCCUUCAGAGGGGGACAACAGUUGGAAACGACUGCUAAUACCGCAUACGAUCUAAUCUCGGCAUCGAGGAUAGAUGAAAGGUGGCCUCUACAUGUAAGCUAUCACUGAAGGAGGGGAUUGCGUCUGAUUAGCUAGUUGGAGGGGUAAAGGCCCACCAAGGCGAGGAUCAGUAACCGGUCUGGAAAGAUGAACGGCCACCUUGGGACUGAGACAAGGCCCAGACUCCUACGGGGGGCAGCAGGGGGGAAUCUUCCGCAAUGGACGAAAGUCUGACGGAGCAACGCCGCGGGGGCGGUGACGGCCUUCGGGUUGUAAAGCUCUGUUAAUCGGGACGAAAGGCCUUCUUGCGAAUAGUGAGAGGGAUUGACGGUACCGGAAGAGAAAGCCACGGCUAACUACGUG
Molecule: ribosomal RNA, 510 nt
Filed under: uncultured bacterium
Lineage: Bacteria
Description: partial 16S ribosomal RNA
Rfam family: Bacterial small subunit ribosomal RNA
Source: RNAcentral